RNAcentral lists this ribosomal RNA (408 nucleotides) under uncultured bacterium. RNAcentral describes it as "bacterial SSU rRNA". It matches the Rfam family "Bacterial small subunit ribosomal RNA", at positions 94 to 518 of the family's 1533-position model. The record is from RNAcentral.
AGUGGCGGACGGGUGGAGUAACGCGUGGGUAACCUGCCUCAUACAGGGGGAUAACAGUUAGAAAUGACUGCUAACACCGCAUAAUAUAGCGAAACCGCAUGAUUUUGCUAUCAAAUAUUUAUAGGUAUGAGAUGGGCCCGCGUCUGAUUAGCUAGUUGGUGGGGUAAAAGCCUACCAAGGCGACGAUCAGUAGCCGGCUUGAGAGAGUGACCGGCCACAUUGGGACUGAGACACGGCCCAAACUCCUACGGGAGGCAGCAGUGGGGAAUAUUGGACAAUGGGGGAAACCCUGAUCCAGCCGACGCCGCGUGAGUGAAGAAGUAUUUCGGUAUGUAAAGCUCUAUCAGCAGGGAAGAUAAUGACAGUACCUGACUAAGAAGCCCCGGCUAACUACGUGCCAGCCGCGGC